RNAcentral lists this ribosomal RNA (492 nucleotides) under uncultured bacterium. RNAcentral's name for it is "partial 16S ribosomal RNA". It matches the Rfam family "Bacterial small subunit ribosomal RNA", at positions 29 to 507 of the family's 1533-position model. The record is from RNAcentral.
AGUGAACGCUGGCGGUAUGCCUAACACAUGCAAGUCGAACGGCAGGACAGGAAGAGCUCGCCCUUACGGGUGGCGAGUGGCGGACGGGUGAGGAAUACAUCGGAUUCUACUUUUUCGGGGGGGAUAACGGGAGGAAACUGAUGCUAAUAGCGCAUAUGACCUACGGGUGGAAGCAGUAGUGAUUCAGACCUUUCGCGACUGAAUUAGCCGAUGUCGGAUUAGCUAGUUGGCGAGGUAAAGGCCCACCAAGGCGACGAACCGUAGCUGGUCUGAGAGGAUGGUCAGCCCACCUGGGACUGGAGAACGGUCCCGGCUCCCAAGGGGGGCAGCAGUGGGGAAUAUUGGCGAAAGGGGCGAAGCCUGAUCCAGGCAUAGCGGGUGGGUGAAGAAGGCCUUCGGGUUGUAAAGCCCUUUUGUUGGGAAAGAAACAAAGGAGGUUGAUACCACGCUGUUCUGACGGUAACCAAAGCAUAAGCCCCGGCUAACUUCGUG